GAGCACAGGAUGUGAAACAUUUAGACCACUGAGACCUUUUUUGGUCUUUGAUGUAUCUAAAAUCGAGCUUUUUAAAACUGAUGCUAG
Hordeum vulgare subsp. vulgare (domesticated barley) is the source of this 87-nucleotide non-coding RNA. NCBI's taxonomy places the organism in Eukaryota, Viridiplantae, Streptophyta, Magnoliopsida, Poales, Poaceae. The record is from Rfam.